GUUUGGAAUUUGAAUUCUUCAAAUAAUCUGCUGUCAGUUGCCACAAAAUAAGAAAAUAAAGAGGAAGGGCCACGUGAAGGACACAGCAGGAAGGCAGUCUGCAAUCCAGGAAGAGAGUGCUCACUAGAAACCAACCCUGGGACCACGAUCUUGGACUUCCAGCCUCCAGACUGUGAGAAAAUAAAUUUUGGUUUCUUCAGCCAGCCAGUCUGUGUUAUAUUGUUACGGCAGCCCCAGCAGACUACUACAAGUACCUAAUCGAUGAACCUGCACAGCUGCAGAGGAGCCAAAGAGAGAUGUGAUUCUGAUGAAUUUCUUCUAUCUGUACUACACUGAAGUUUCUACCUGAAGUAUGCAAGGACAAAGAAAUUCUGUUCUGUGGAGAAGAAAGAAACCUAGCUGUGAAAGAACCAUAAGUCUUCAAAAGGAACAAAAUGUAUUCCCCCGUUAAUUCUGCUAGUUUCAGAAGAGACAUAGGUGAGAUCUGUGAAUUCCCUAUGGAUCAAGAAUGCUUCUGG
Long non-coding RNA from Tupaia belangeri chinensis (Chinese tree shrew), 518 nucleotides. RefSeq lists it as uncharacterized. The record is from RefSeq and is a predicted model, not a curated record. The transcript is spliced from 3 exons. NCBI's taxonomy places the organism in Eukaryota, Metazoa, Chordata, Mammalia, Scandentia, Tupaiidae.